GUCUUCAUAGUGUAAUGGUAACACAUCCCAGACGGAAUAGUAAUCUCCCUUGUGAACUAUCUGGGCAUCCCGAGUUCGAAUCUCGGUGAAGACA
Mycena vitilis is the source of this 94-nucleotide non-coding RNA. NCBI's taxonomy places the organism in Eukaryota, Fungi, Basidiomycota, Agaricomycetes, Agaricales, Mycenaceae. The record is from the annotation of a GenBank genome assembly.